Long non-coding RNA from Cyprinus carpio carpio, 2185 nucleotides. Lineage: Eukaryota; Metazoa; Chordata; Actinopteri; Cypriniformes; Cyprinidae. The record is from Ensembl.
CUGAGUUAAAAUAAAUGUUCUGAACUGGAGCAGCCCUCGCUCCCUUCAUCCUCCCCCGCCUCCUUGAAUUCUUCUCUUUCCAUCUUUCCCUAACUGACAGGUCAGUCUGUUUUACUUGGAAGAGGUCCGGGUGGAACAACAUUGAGAUCGUUUUCGACAGGAAACUGCAGCAGCUGACUUCCAUUAGAGCUCAAUUCAGUCUGCCGCCUUCAGCACCAGGAAGACAUGGCACAGAAAAAGCACUAGAAGGGGCCACCAGGCCCCUAAUGGAGAGUGAUUUAUUGAAUGGCUUUGGCUUGCUGUUGGCCCUGGGCCUGUCUCCUAAUUGAGCACCUGGUGCUGCAUGGGAAAAGUUAAUAUGAUAUAAAUUGAUACUGUGGCAGUGGCCGUGGCAGGGCUCGGGAGGCAGCAUGGACUCAUGCCUGCUUCCCCAUGGAGAUAGGACCAGAUGCUCCAGGAGGAAGGCGGAACAGCAAGGGAACACUGAGGUGACAGAUAGGCCUCAUGUGAGGCUGGAGAGGUGGGCCAGAACCGUGUGACUGCAGAUGUUGUGCUGGAGUUUCUAGUCACUGAUUCUGAUACCAUCCGUGCUCAAACAGAAGACUGGAAAAUUAUAAAUAAUGGUGAAAUCCUGGAGUCAUGAUUCAUGGUGUUUUGGCAGAUGGAUUGUACUUGACAUUACUGUUGUUCUCUACACCUAAAUGAAAAAUGUGUAACGGAUAUGGUGCACUUUUAGUAUCCAAAGGUGUCAGCAAAAUUUAUUUUAUAUUUCUGAAAAUUCAACUGUGUUAACACUUGUCAAUAUAUCUUUAUCUAAAUUAAAAUGUGAAAAAAAGAAGUGUUAUUAGACAUAUUGUAAACUUAAUGUAAUAUUUUUGCAUACACUUAUUUUUGUUGUACUUACAUGCAAGCAGUUUGAAAGUUAACAUUUUAAACAAAAAAUAAACUAAUAUAUACUUAGAGUACUAGAUAUGACCAGAUAGUUAUACAUUCAUUCAAAAGUUUAGGGGUUGUGCGAUUUAUUUAUUUAUCUAUUUAUUUAUUUAUGAAUGAAUGAAUGAAUGAAUGAAUGAAUGAAUGAAUGAAAUGACUCCUUUUGUUCACCAAAAGGAAUAAAAUGUAUAAUGUUUUGAGAGAUUUCUAUUUCAAAUGAAUGCUGUUCUUUUGAACUUUCAAUUCAUCACAGAAUCCUGAAAAUGAUAAUAAUAAGAAAACAAAAAUAUUGAUAAUAAUUUUACUUUAAUUUUACACCAAAUCAGCUUAUUAAAAUGAUUUCUACAGGACCGUGUGACACUGAAGAAUGGAUUAAUGACUGCUGACUAUUCAAAUUUGCCAUCACAGGAAUAAACUAUUUUAAUAAAUUAUUUUAAAAUAUUUUGAAAAAAAAACAAAAUAAAGAAAAUCAUUUUAUUUGGAAUGAUCAGUAAUCACUAUAUUCCAGUUUGUACUGUAUUUAUGAUCACAUAAAUGCAGCUUUGGUGAGCAUCAGAUACCAUUUUCAAAAGCAUAAAUACACUGAAUUUGUAGUAUACUGUACAUUUAGCCUUUCUUCCCCAGAGACCAAAAUUAUGACUGGUUCUUUAUGCUAACAGUGAAUAAAUGUAUUGAAAAGAGUGAUCGGUUUUCAUAAGUUAGCCACACUCAGCCUGUAUAAACCCUGUGGAGUCACACAGAAAAGCCAGUUUUAGCAUUUUCCUGUGCCCCUUCAUCUAGAGAGAUGGAGGGAGAAUGAAAGAGGAAAAAGGGCCUGUUCUUUGUGGGUCCCCCCUGAGGACGGUUGUGUCUUGACAGCUCACUCCCACAAACGAAACGGAGUGCCAGAUCCAUUCAGCAACCCUGUUCAUUUCUCUGUCCCUAUCCACUCCUCUUACUCCAGCAAAUCAGGUGCUGAAUAUACAAAACUUAUGCCCACUGGCAGCUUCAGACUGCAGAUCAGUGAGAUGGGGAAAAAGACAAUCUAGUAAAAAGUCUUUUUCAAUAUAUUUCUUUCUCUGCCUAGCUACAUUCUGCCAAACUCGCAGUCCAAAGCACACAGGCUUAUCCAGAAUAAUCUUCUGAGGGAAUUCCGCUCUGUAGCUCUUCUUAGUACUCGUCUGUCAAUACAAAGACUUGCAUGGCUUUGGAUGGAUUUACCUCCUUCCUUCUCCAGUUAGACUUACAAAUAUUCCUGCCUCAGUGCAUUUCA